ACACUCAUGGUGAAGCGGUUAUCAUGCUUGCCUUCCAUUUGCGCUUACGUAAGCCGACGUAAGCAAGCGGCAGGGGUUCGACUCCCCUUGAGUGUA
This is a non-coding RNA of Mycena rebaudengoi, 96 nucleotides long. The record is from the annotation of a GenBank genome assembly. NCBI's taxonomy places the organism in Eukaryota, Fungi, Basidiomycota, Agaricomycetes, Agaricales, Mycenaceae.